UGGGGAAUAUUGGACAAUGGGCGCAAGCCUGAUCCAGCAAUACCGCGUGUGUGAAGAAGGCCUGCGGGUUGUAAAGCACUUUUGUUAGUUAGGAAAAGCCUGGAAUUAAUACUUCUGGGACUUGACGUAGACUAAAGAAUAAGCACCGGCUAACUCCGUGCCAGCAGCCGCGGUAAUACGGAGGGUGCAAGCGUUAAUCGGAAUUACUGGGCGUAAAGGGCGCGUAGGCGGUUUUUUUAGUCGGAUGUGAAAUCCCCGGGCUUAACCUGGGAACUGCAUUCGAUACUGGAAGACUAGAGUGUGGUAGAGGAAAGUGGAAUUUCAGGUGUAGCGGUGAAAUGCGUAGAUAUCUGAAGGAACACCAGUGGCGAAGGCGACUUUCUGGACCAACACUGACGCUGAGGCGCGAAAGCGUGGGGAGCAAACAGG
RNAcentral lists this ribosomal RNA (429 nucleotides) under uncultured bacterium. RNAcentral describes it as "bacterial SSU rRNA". It matches the Rfam family "Bacterial small subunit ribosomal RNA", at positions 355 to 776 of the family's 1533-position model. The record is from RNAcentral.